CCUACCAUGGCCGACCAGAGACAACGCUCACUCUCUACCUCUGGGGAAUCACUCUACCAUGUCCUGGGGCUGGACAAGAACGCAACCUCAGACGACAUUAAAAAGUCCUAUCGGAAACUUGCCUUGAAAUAUCACCCUGACAAGAACCCUGAUAACCCAGAGGCUGCAGACAAGUUUAAGGAGAUCAACAACGCCCACGCCAUCCUGACGGACGCCACAAAAAGAAACAUCUACGACAAGUACGGCUCGCUGGGGCUCUACGUGGCCGAGCAGUUUGGGGAGGAGAACGUGAACACCUACUUCGUGCUCUCCAGUUGGUGGGCCAAGGCCCUGUUCGUCGUGUGCGGGCUGCUGACCUGCUGCUACUGCUGCUGCUGCCUGUGCUGCUGCUUUAACUGCUGCUGUGGGCGCUGCAAGCCCCGGGCGCCCGCGGGCGAGGACGCCGACUUCUAUGUGUCCCCCGAGGACCUGGAGGCGCAGCUGCAGUCCGAUGAGCGCGGAGGGCACUGACUCUGUGCGGGAGUGUUUGUGGUGGCGGCUGGGACUGUUGAGGUGUGAACGUGGACACUUGAGAGGCCACAGACACGCCGGUCGUCAUACAGCCAGCGUCCGCCACAGAGACCACCCAGCUGACGGCCGACUCCCACCCCAGCUACCACACCGACGGGUUCAACUAAGUGCGGGAGCAGCUGCGGCAGAGGACAGCGCAGCAGCCGGCCACUUCACCUUAGAGUCCUGGACCGUAGUCACAGAGAUGGGGAGGAAGGGCAGCCGCCGGCCCGCCGGGGCCCUUCCCACCUCUGUGCCCGCCCGCCCACGCGCCCCCACCACGUGAAGUGCGUCGCAUGCAGUAUUUAAAGCAGUUUAGCUACGGUCUUCUUCUUUUUCUGUUUUCUCCUUUUUUAGUAGCAUGUAUGGGGUUACGUUCCAUGUCUGUCUGUGUUGUGGGCGUGCCGCGCGGCGUGACCGCGUUACCAGUGGAGCCGCCUCGGGGCUUUCAGUUCGCUGCGCCGACUGCGGCUGCGUGGUACCCCCCAGCCAGGCAGGCUGGGGCGGGAGGGGUGGCUCCUUUCCCCUGUGCUGGUGGGGGCCGGAAGCAGGUGCUGCCUGGCGGGAGCUCUGGGUCUGGACCCCCCCGCCCCCCCCGUGCUUGCCAGCUGCGUGGGCACAGGCAGAGGCUCUGGACGCAUUGCUGGGAAGGAGCUGGUGUGUCCUCCCUUUGCCUGGUCCCGUCAACAUUUCCGUGGUGUUUGUGCGGGUCUGUUUGCCUUGGUUGCUUGGCCUUGUGGCAGGGUUUUUUCCAUGGGUAAGUUUGUUGUGGAAAGUGUGGGAGGCUCUGCUGACCCCAAGACCACGUUUUCUACCUGGGUGCAGCCUCGGUCUCCUUGUCACAUGGUCCUUUGAGCGUGUUCCCUCGCCAGGCUGUGGGAGGUGUACCCUCCAUGCUCCCACACUGUCCCCCGGCCACGAGCUGGGUGGAUGGGGCCACAUUCCUCCACCUCCUCUCCCCUUUGGCCACCCUCUACAUUCCUUCAGGCCCACCUGGCCUUCUGGUCCUUUCUGGACCUCUUAAGAACCGCAAGCGGUAGCAGUGACCCGGUUUGUUGUUGUUAGAGGAGCCGACAGUCCAGGUUGCUGGUGGAGCAUGGCUGAGCAGCCCUGAGAAGCACACGUGGGGAGCACAGCCCUCUUCUCUGUGCUUCGCAGAGCUCCUACCCACCCCACUGCCCUUCACCUGUUCCCUUCAGUCACCGUCGAUGGUUCAGGCAGAGCUAGAGACGCCAGGUUCCUGGAGGAAGGACCAGCUGGACCAAAGGCACAGCCUGGUGCCCUUGGCUUGUGAGCCAGCAGCCUGACCGUGGAGCCCCCACUCACUCACCGUUGUCUUGAGUGGCACCUUCUGUGAACUCUUGGAAGUCAGUCUUUCUUGUCUGUGUCCCAGAACUUGUGGGUGGUGCCCCUGCUGCCGGGGACAAGGAAACGGGUUACGAUGUGCCUGUGCCGGCCCAGAGUUCACAGUGGCCCCCACACCCCCAGCAGCACUGGACGUGGUGUGGCUCCCUGCUGGACCCGCACUGGUCACUGGAGACCCGAGUGGUUUCUGCAGAACGAACUUGAGGGCUGCUGCUGAGUGUGUCCUGCGUGUCCAGCAGAUGAAAAGCAAGGAGGACGAUGUCGGCUCUGACGUGCACUGUUUCCAGCACCGCCUCCCCCCAGCCUGCCCGCCCGCUGGGCCUCGGCCCUUGUCUGCCCACCCACAGCUCUGCCGAGAGCGGGUGCUUGUUGACCCGAAAGGGGCUGAAGGGACAGCAGUGUCCGUGCGGAACGUGGACAGGCUCCGAGCACAGUGCUGGGUGCGGCCGGCUCUGGUGGAACGGCUCCCAGGUCCUUGGGCAGGUUUUUGGUCCCCCCCCCUUUUGUUUUUGUUUUUGUUCAUUAAAAUGAUCAUGAGCACAUUCAGUGAGAGGGAAAAUAUGCACUAUGCUCUUAAAUUAGAAAUAAUUUGCUAAAAUCAGACGUCAUGAAAGAUGAUAAGUUCUCUACGCCACCCUGGGAAGAGGUAAGAGCACAGGGUCGUCUGUACCAGUCCCAACAGCAGCAAGGACACAGCCUUUGUGGUGUUUCUGAAAAUAACUUUCGGAGCUGUUUUUCGCUGGCAUGGCCAAGAACCAAGUUCAAAGCUUGGACUUCAGGUACCAAGGCUCCCCCUGCGGGGCCACUGCAGCUCUGUGGUCAGGAACCCUAAAGGCCCAGCACACGUGUGUGAGCGAGUCCUCGACGGGACCUUGACAGAAACGUGAGGCUCUGCAGGGGACCAGGGUGUGGGGAGUGGGGCAGGUCUGGACGGGUGUUGAACCCAGGCUCCUGUAGGAUUUGUAAAAACCAAAUAAAUCAUGACAGUGAUGUUAACCC
RNA transcript from Ailuropoda melanoleuca (giant panda), 2913 nucleotides. It is a transcript of the gene named DnaJ heat shock protein family (Hsp40) member C5, with no coding region annotated. The transcript has 5 exons. Lineage: Eukaryota; Metazoa; Chordata; Mammalia; Carnivora; Ursidae. The record is from RefSeq and is a predicted model, not a curated record.